UAGCCGUAAACGAUACUCGCUAGGUGUCGGCCACGGUGCGACCGUUGUCGGUGCCGUAGGGAAGCCGUGGAGCGAGCCACCUGGGAAGUACGGCCGCAAGGCUGAAACUUAAAGGAAUUGGCGGGGGAGCACAACAACGGGUGGAGCUUGCGGUUUAAUUGGAUUCAACGCCGGAAAUCUUACCGGGACCGACAGCAACAUGAAGGCCAAGCUGAAGACUUUGCCGGAUUAGCUGAGAGGUGGUGCAUGGCGUGUGACUGU
Molecule: ribosomal RNA, 261 nt
Filed under: uncultured archaeon
Lineage: Archaea
Description: partial 16S ribosomal RNA
Rfam family: Archaeal small subunit ribosomal RNA
Source: RNAcentral